Molecule: ribosomal RNA, 642 nt
Filed under: Microbacterium phyllosphaerae
Lineage: Bacteria; Bacillati; Actinomycetota; Actinomycetes; Micrococcales; Microbacteriaceae
Description: bacterial SSU rRNA
Rfam family: Bacterial small subunit ribosomal RNA
Source: RNAcentral
AACUAGUUGUGGGGGUCAUUCCACGGAUUCCGUGACGCAGCUAACGCAUUAAGUUCCCCGCCUGGGGAGUACGGCCGCAAGGCUAAAACUCAAAGGAAUUGACGGGGACCCGCACAAGCGGCGGAGCAUGCGGAUUAAUUCGAUGCAACGCGAAGAACCUUACCAAGGCUUGACAUAUACGAGAACGGGCCAGAAAUGGUCAACUCUUUGGACACUCGUAAACAGGUGGUGCAUGGUUGUCGUCAGCUCGUGUCGUGAGAUGUUGGGUUAAGUCCCGCAACGAGCGCAACCCUCGUUCUAUGUUGCCAGCACGUAAUGGUGGGAACUCAUGGGAUACUGCCGGGGUCAACUCGGAGGAAGGUGGGGAUGACGUCAAAUCAUCAUGCCCCUUAUGUCUUGGGCUUCACGUAUGCUACAAUGGCCGGUACAAAGGGCUGCAAUACCGCGAGGUGGAGCGAAUCCCAAAAAGCCGGUCCCAGUUCGGAUUGAGGUCUGCAACUCGACCUCAUGAAGUCGGAGUCGCUAGUAAUCGCAGAUCAGCAACGCUGCGGUGAAUACGUUCCCGGGUCUUGUACACACCGCCCGUCAAGUCAUGAAAGUCGGUAACACCUGAAGCCGGUGGCCUAACCCUUGUGGAGGGAG